AUACUUACCUGGCUUGGGAGACACCACAAUAAGGCAGCUGGCUUUACCAGUGUGAGGGUUAUCUCCUGAACUCCAGGUGUGCUGACACUUUCAGUUUCCCCAAAGGCAUGAAACUCCACAACAUACUUUGUGGUAGUAGAAGACAAUAUAUAUGCUCUCACCUU
RNAcentral lists this small nuclear RNA (164 nucleotides) under Meleagris gallopavo (turkey). RNAcentral describes it as "U1 spliceosomal RNA (ENSMGAG00000000481.2)". It matches the Rfam family "U1 spliceosomal RNA". From Rfam's summary of the family: U1 is a small nuclear RNA (snRNA) component of the spliceosome (involved in pre-mRNA splicing). The record is from RNAcentral. Lineage: Eukaryota; Metazoa; Chordata; Aves; Galliformes; Phasianidae.